RNAcentral lists this ribosomal RNA (317 nucleotides) under uncultured bacterium. Its description in RNAcentral is "bacterial SSU rRNA". It matches the Rfam family "Bacterial small subunit ribosomal RNA", at positions 8 to 334 of the family's 1533-position model. The record is from RNAcentral.
AGGGUUCGAUUAUGGCUCAGGAUGAACGCUGGCGGCGUGCCUAACACAUGCAAGUCGAGCGAUUCUCUUCGGAGAAGAGCGGCGGACGGGUGAGUAACGCGUGGGUAACCUGCCCUGUACACACGGAUAACAUACCGAAAGGUAUGCUAAUACGAGAUAAUAUGCUUUUAUCGCAUGGUAGAAGUAUCAAAGCUUUUGCGGUACAGGAUGGACCCGCGUCUGAUUAGCUAGUUGGUAAGGUAACGGCUUACCAAGGCGACGAUCAGUAGCCGACCUGAGAGGGUGAUCGGCCACAUUGGAACUGAGACACGGUCCAA